GCACUGGCAAAAUCCAGUGCCGGGAUUUGCACCCCGGAUUACUAAAAGGCGCAUACCACGCCAGACGUGGUUUUUUU
Molecule: small RNA, 77 nt
Filed under: Escherichia coli
Lineage: Bacteria; Pseudomonadati; Pseudomonadota; Gammaproteobacteria; Enterobacterales; Enterobacteriaceae
Description: isrK
Rfam family: isrK Hfq binding RNA
Source: RNAcentral